This is a small nuclear RNA of Pongo abelii (Sumatran orangutan), 180 nucleotides long. Its record names the gene U2. It matches the Rfam family "U2 spliceosomal RNA". Rfam says of the family: U2 is a small nuclear RNA (snRNA) component of the spliceosome (involved in pre-mRNA splicing). The record is from Ensembl. Lineage: Eukaryota; Metazoa; Chordata; Mammalia; Primates; Hominidae.
AUUGCCUCUCAGCCUUUGGCUAAGAUCAAGUGUAGUGUUCUUAUCACUUUAAUAUCUGCUGAGGACAGUAUAUUAAAUGGAUUUUUGGAGCAGGGAGAUGGAAUAGGACCUUGCUCCUUCCACUCCGUGCAUCCACCUGGUAUUCCUGGAGGCAGUACCUCCAGGAAUAGUGCACCCCCU